Molecule: ribosomal RNA, 567 nt
Filed under: Pseudomonas fluorescens
Lineage: Bacteria; Pseudomonadati; Pseudomonadota; Gammaproteobacteria; Pseudomonadales; Pseudomonadaceae
Description: bacterial SSU rRNA
Rfam family: Bacterial small subunit ribosomal RNA
Source: RNAcentral
UUCGGAAACGGACGCUAAUACCGCAUACGUCCUACGGGAGAAAGCAGGGGACCUUCGGGCCUUGCGCUAUCAGAUGAGCCUAGGUCGGAUUACCUAGUUGGUGGGGUAAUGGCUCACCAAGGCGACGAUCCGUAACUGGUCUGAGAGGAUGAUCAGUCACACUGGAACUGAGACACGGUCCAGACUCCUACGGGAGGCAGCAGUGGGGAAUAUUGGACAAUGGGCGAAAGCCUGAUCCAGCCAUGCCGCGUGUGUGAAGAAGGUCUUCGGAUUGUAAAGCACUUUAAGUUGGGAGGAAGGGCCAUUACCUAAUACGUGAUGGUUUUGACGUUACCGACAGAAUAAGCACCGGCUAACUCUGUGCCAGCAGCCGCGGUAAUACAGAGGGUGCAAGCGUUAAUCGGAAUUACUGGGCGUAAAGCGCGCGUAGGUGGUUUGUUAAGUUGGAUGUGAAAUCCCCGGGCUCAACCUGGGAACUGCAUUCAAAACUGACUGACUAGAGUAUGGUAGAGGGUGGUGGAAUUUCCUGUGUAGCGGUGAAAUGCGUAGAUAUAGGAAGGAACACCA